Molecule: small nuclear RNA, 192 nt
Filed under: Xenopus laevis (African clawed frog)
Lineage: Eukaryota; Metazoa; Chordata; Amphibia; Anura; Pipidae
Description: U2 spliceosomal RNA
Rfam family: U2 spliceosomal RNA
About the family: U2 is a small nuclear RNA (snRNA) component of the spliceosome (involved in pre-mRNA splicing). Complementary binding between U2 snRNA (in an area lying towards the 5' end but 3' to hairpin I) and the branchpoint sequence (BPS) of the intron results the bulging out of an unpaired adenosine, on the BPS, which initiates a nucleophilic attack at the intronic 5' splice site, thus starting the first of two transesterification reactions that mediate splicing.
Source: Rfam by way of RNAcentral
UAUGUUUCUUGAUUUUUUAUAAUACAGAAUAAAAAAAAAUCUGUUCUCAUCAGUUUAAUAUCUGAUAUGUCCCCUAUCUGGGGACCAUAUAUUAAAUGGAUUUUUGGAAGAGGGAGAUGAAAUAAGAGCUUGCUCUGUCCACUCCACGCAUCGACCUGGUAUUGCAGUACCUUCAGGACCGGUGCACUUCUC